RNAcentral lists this long non-coding RNA (359 nucleotides) under Setaria viridis. Its description in RNAcentral is "long non-coding RNA (SVIR_LNC007996)". The record is from RNAcentral. Lineage: Eukaryota; Viridiplantae; Streptophyta; Magnoliopsida; Poales; Poaceae.
UAGCAUCUGCCACCAGCUCUCCUCGAUCUGUUUCUUUCUUCGCUUGCGGCUUCUGUACGAUGCGCUGUCGCCUCGGACAGCAAAGUUCCACAGAAUGACCCCGAAUCCUCGGCAACGUCCUGGGUGCUCGGGAUUACCGAGGGCCAAUGUGAGCUCAUCAUUCUCUUGGUACACCUGCAACCUCCUAGGCUUAGAAUCUUCAAUGUUCUUCAUAAGACGUUCGGCCUUCUCACGUAUUGUAUCAUUGAAUAUCAACAUCCCAUCCUCUUGGCUCAGGGAGCCUCCAUGAGCAUAAUACCAAUUUUUUGAUCGUUCGAACCAUUCAAUAGUUGCAGGUACGAUUCCCCAUUCGAUCAGAU